RNAcentral lists this long non-coding RNA (230 nucleotides) under Helianthus annuus (common sunflower). Its description in RNAcentral is "hypothetical non coding rna". The record is from RNAcentral. Lineage: Eukaryota; Viridiplantae; Streptophyta; Magnoliopsida; Asterales; Asteraceae.
CGUCGAUCAGAAGCUCCCAAAGGAGCCAAACCCUAGCUCAAGCUUAUUUGCUCAAAUUGAAAGGGGAAUUCAACCCAAAUCUAAUGCAUGUACCCGAAUUCUUAGUCAUCUAGCCCUAAAGAUCACUUGAAUAGGAACCACACUAGCAUGGACCAAGCAUGGAAGGCUAACGGGUCAAGAUGAGGCAAGCAAGCGGGUAUGAACACGGAUGCACAAGAUCAAAUAUGUGA